RNAcentral lists this long non-coding RNA (427 nucleotides) under Salvia miltiorrhiza (redroot sage). RNAcentral's name for it is "long non-coding RNA (SMIL_LNC013466)". The record is from RNAcentral. Lineage: Eukaryota; Viridiplantae; Streptophyta; Magnoliopsida; Lamiales; Lamiaceae.
AAAAAGGCAUGAAUAUUAUUUCAUCUUUGCAGUAGCAGCAGCAUGGAAUGGAUAGAUGCAUGGUGUCAAAAAUGAAUAAAUGCAAGAUUGGCCCAUUAAAUUUGUGAGGGCAAGGAUGUGCAGAAGCCAGCCAAGAGUAAAGGGUACAUAUGAUCAUAGGCCCAUCAUGUGCUUCUGCUAACAUGCACAGGUAGGUUGUGAUAGAUACACUAGUACUUCUAACUCAUCACACACCACUCAAAUUCCUAUUCUACAUCAUAAACUUCCUCUUAUAUAUUUUCACUCUUUCAUUUUGUGUUAUCCCUUAUUUGGAAAUUAUAUUAUUACUAUACACUCCUUAAUUUUCCAUAACAAACCGUACUACAAUACAUACAAUAAUAUCCGACCAUAUAUUUUUACUAUUUAAUACACACCACAUGUACAUUUA